AAUUUGUGUCAAAAUUUGAAUUGCUAUAUGAUUUAUCAAUACAUAAGAACUCAUCUAUUAUUUAUAACCAUCUUCUUGGUUAUUUUCUGUUAUUAGUUUUAAGACUAGACACUUUA
This 116-nucleotide small RNA is filed under the name Staphylococcus aureus. RNAcentral's name for it is "Transcript". Lineage: Bacteria; Bacillati; Bacillota; Bacilli; Caryophanales; Staphylococcaceae. The record is from RNAcentral.